UACGAAGGGGGCUAGCGUUGCUCGGAAUUACUGGGCGUAAAGGGCGCGUAGGCGGACAGUUUAGUCAGAGGUGAAAGCCCAGGGCUCAACCUUGGAAUUGCCUUUGAUACUGGCUGUCUUGAGUUCGGGAGAGGUGAGUGGAACUCCGAGUGUAGAGGUGAAAUUCGUAGAUAUUCGGAAGAACACCAGUGGCGAAGGCGACUCACUGGCCCGAUACUGACGCUGAGGCGCGAAAGCGUGGGGGAGCAAACAGG
Molecule: ribosomal RNA, 254 nt
Filed under: uncultured bacterium
Lineage: Bacteria
Description: partial 16S ribosomal RNA
Rfam family: Bacterial small subunit ribosomal RNA
Source: RNAcentral